AGGAGGCAGCAGUAAGGAAUGUUGGACAAUGGGGGGAACCCUGAUCCAGCAAUGCCGCGUGUGUGAAGAAGGCCUUCGGGUUGUAAAGCACUUUAGGCGGGGAAGAAGGUAGGUAUUUUAAGAGAUAACCUAUUUGACGGUACCCGCAGAAUAAGCACCGGCUAACUCUGUGCCAGCAGCCGCGGUAAUACAGAGGGUGCAAGCGUUAAUCGGAUUUACUGGGCGUAAAGGGCGCGUAGGUGGUUAUUUAAGUGAGAUGUGAAAGCCCCGGGCUCAACCUGGGAACUGCAUCUUAUACUGGGUAACUGGAGUACAUGAGAGGGUAGUGGAAUUUCCGGUGUAGCGGUGAAAUGCGCAGAUAUCGGAAGGAACACCAGUGGCGAAGGCGGCUACCUGGCAUGAUACUGACACUGAGGCGCGAGAGCGUGGGGAGCAAACAGGAUUAGAUACCCCGGUA
Molecule: ribosomal RNA, 457 nt
Filed under: uncultured bacterium
Lineage: Bacteria
Description: bacterial SSU rRNA
Rfam family: Bacterial small subunit ribosomal RNA
Source: RNAcentral